Long non-coding RNA from Saccostrea cuccullata (small rock oyster), 307 nucleotides. RefSeq lists it as uncharacterized. The record is from RefSeq and is a predicted model, not a curated record. Lineage: Eukaryota; Metazoa; Mollusca; Bivalvia; Ostreida; Ostreidae. The transcript has 3 exons.
AAAACAUCUAGCUGAUGUGCAAACUCACAGUCACGCAUUGAACAAAAAUGUCGGCUUUUACUAUUCUUUUUGCGACUGUUUUGAUAGGAAGCUUGUAUCUUCUGGGAGUUAUCGCUUCAUGUCAACCAAAUCCCUGUCAGAAUGGAGGUAUAUUAUGCCACUAGAAGGCGCUGUCCGUUGUUUUUGUCCAAUCAAAUAUGAGGACCUUUAUUGUGAAACACUUCCAUCACAUAUAGGUAUAACUCCACCAUCUAAAGAUAUCCGUACAGCAACUAUAAAACUGCCCGAUGAUAUCCUUAAAAUGGCA